This 28-nucleotide non-coding RNA is filed under the name Cricetulus griseus (Chinese hamster). The record is from RNAcentral. Lineage: Eukaryota; Metazoa; Chordata; Mammalia; Rodentia; Cricetidae.
GUGCCAGUCUGCAUCUGGGUCCUGUAGA